GACGAACGCUGGCGGCGUGCUUAACACAUGCAAGUCGAACGGAAAGGCCCUGCUUUUGUUGGUUGCUCGUGUGGCGAACGCGUGUGUAACACGUGAGUAACCUGCCCUUGACUUUGGGAUAUCUUCACGAAACUGGGGCUAAUACCCGAUAGGAGCUCCUGCUGCACGGUGGGGGUUGGAAAGUUUCGGCGGUUGGGGAUCGACUCGCGGCUUAUCAGCUUGUUGGUCGGGUAGUGGCUUACCAAGCCUUUGAAGGGUAGCCGGCCUGGGAGGGUGACCGGCCACAUUGGGACUGAGGUACGGCCCAGACGCGUACGGGAGGCAGCAGUGGGGAAUAUUGCACAAUGGGCGGAAGCCUGAUGCAGCAACGCCGCGUGCGGGAUGACGGCCUUCGGGUUGUAAACCGCCUUCGCCUGUGACGAAGCGUGAGUGACGGUAAUGGGUAAAGAAGCACCGGCUAACUACGUG
RNAcentral lists this ribosomal RNA (468 nucleotides) under uncultured bacterium. RNAcentral describes it as "partial 16S ribosomal RNA". It matches the Rfam family "Bacterial small subunit ribosomal RNA", at positions 28 to 507 of the family's 1533-position model. The record is from RNAcentral.